AGUCGAGCGAGAAGUAUCUUCGGAUAUGAUUAGAGCGGCAGACGGGAGAGUAACGCGUAAGAAUCUACCUAAUAGAAGGGGAUAGCCCGAGGAAACUCGGAUUAAUACCGUAUACCUCCUUCGGGAGAGAGAAGGACUCUUCUUUGAAGCUUUCGCUACUAGAUGAGCCUGCGUAAGAUUAGCUUGGUGGUGAGGUAGAGGCUCACCAGGGCGACGAUCUUUUGCGGGUCUGAGAGGACGAUCCGCCCCAUUGGGGCUGAGACACGGGCCAUACUCCUACGGGAGGCAGCAGUGGGGAAUAUUGGACGAUGGGCGCAAGCCUGAUCCAGCCAUACCGCGUGUGUGAAGAAGGCCUUAGGGUUGUAAAGCACUUUAAGUUGGGAAGAAAGGUUAUUGGCUAAUACCCAAUAGCUGUGACAUUACCAUCAGAAUAAGGACCGGAUAAUUCGGUGCCAGCAGCCGCGGUAAUACGGAAGGUCCAAGCGUUAAUCGGAAUUGCUGGGCGUAAAGCGCGCGUAGGUGGGAUAUUAAGUUGGAUGUGAAAUCCCCGGGCUCAACCUGGCAGCUGUAUUCAAAACUGGUUCACUAUACUACGAAAGAGGGAGGUAGAACUCGCAGUGUAGCGGGGGAAUGCGUAAAUAUUGUGAAGAAUACCAAUGGCGAAGGCAGCCUCCUGGAUCUGUGCUGACACUGAGGUGACAAAGCGUGGGUAGCGAACAGGAUUAUAUACCCUGGUAGUCCCCGCCGAAAACGAUGUCAACUAGCUGUGGGAAAGCACUGCUUUUCGGUGGCGCCUCUAACGAUAUUAAGUUGACCCCCUGGG
RNAcentral lists this ribosomal RNA (823 nucleotides) under uncultured Gammaproteobacteria bacterium. Its description in RNAcentral is "bacterial SSU rRNA". It matches the Rfam family "Bacterial small subunit ribosomal RNA", at positions 60 to 877 of the family's 1533-position model. The record is from RNAcentral. Lineage: Bacteria; Pseudomonadati; Pseudomonadota; Gammaproteobacteria.